RNAcentral lists this ribosomal RNA (497 nucleotides) under uncultured bacterium. RNAcentral's name for it is "partial 16S ribosomal RNA". It matches the Rfam family "Bacterial small subunit ribosomal RNA", at positions 28 to 507 of the family's 1533-position model. The record is from RNAcentral.
GAUGAACGCUGGCGGCGUGCCUAAUACAUGCAAGUCGAGCGAACGGACGAGAAGCUUGCUUCUCUGAUGUUAGCGGCGGACGGGUGAGUAACACGUGGAUAACCUACCUAUAAGACUGGGAUAACUUCGGGAAACCGGAGCUAAUACCGGAUGAUAUUUUGAACCGCAUGGUUCAAAAGUGAAAGACGGUCUUGCUGUCACUUAUAGAUGGAUCCGCGCUGCAUUAGCUAGUUGGUAAGGUAACGGCUUACCAAGGCAACGAUGCAUAGCCGACCUGAGAGAGUGAUCGGCCACACUGGAACGUAGACACGGUCCAGACUCCUACGAGAGGCAGCAGUAGGGAAUCUUCCGCAAUGGGCGAAAGCCUGACGGAGCAACGCCGCGUGAGUGAUGAAGGUCUUCGGAUCGUAAAACUCUGUUAUUAGUGAAGAACAUAUGUGUAAGUAACUGUGCACAUCUUGACGGUACCUAAUCAGAAAGCCACGGCUAACUACGUG